RNAcentral lists this ribosomal RNA (488 nucleotides) under uncultured Lysobacter sp. RNAcentral describes it as "bacterial SSU rRNA". It matches the Rfam family "Bacterial small subunit ribosomal RNA", at positions 8 to 486 of the family's 1533-position model. The record is from RNAcentral. Lineage: Bacteria; Pseudomonadati; Pseudomonadota; Gammaproteobacteria; Lysobacterales; Lysobacteraceae.
AGAGUUUGAUCAUGGCUCAGAGUGAACGCUGGCGGCAGGCCUAACACAUGCAAGUCGAACGGCAGCACAGCAGUAGCAAUACUGUGGGUGGCGAGUGGCGGACGGGUGAGGAAUACAUCGGAAUCUACCUUGUCGUGGGGGAUAACGUAGGGAAACUUACGCUAAUACCGCAUACGAACUACGGUUGAAAGCGGCGGACCGCAAGGCGUCGCGCGAUUGGAUGAGCCGAUGUCCGAUUAGCUAGUUGGCGGGGUAAAGGCCCACCAAGGCGACGAUCGGUAGCUGGUCUGAGAGGAUGAUCAGCCACACUGGAACUGAGACACGGUCCAGACUCCUACGGGAGGCAGCAGUGGGGAAUAUUGGACAAUGGGCGCAAGCCUGAUCCAGCCAUGCCGCGUGUGUGAAGAAGGCCUUCGGGUUGUAAAGCACUUUUGUCCGGAAAGAAAUCCUGUCGGUUAAUACCCGGCGGGGAUGACGUACCGAAGAAU